RNAcentral lists this unclassified non-coding RNA (328 nucleotides) under soil metagenome. Its description in RNAcentral is "partial contains 5.8S ribosomal RNA, internal transcribed spacer 2, and large subunit ribosomal RNA". The stretch from base 1 to 120 matches the Rfam family "5.8S ribosomal RNA", at positions 35 to 154 of the family's 154-position model. The record is from RNAcentral.
GAUGAAGAACGUAGCGAAAUGCGAUAAGUAAUGUGAAUUGCAGAAUUCAGUGAAUCAUCGAAUCUUUGAACGCACAUUGCGCCCCUUGGUAUUCCGGGGGGCAUGCCUGUUCGAGCGUCAUUUCAACCCUCAAGCUCUGCUUGGUAUUGAGUCCAUGUCAGCAAUGGCAGGCUCCAAAAUCAGUGGCGGCGCCGCUGGGUCCUGAACGUAGUAAUAUCUCUCGUUACAGGUGCUCGGCGUGCUUCUGCCAAAACCCCAAUUUUUCUAUGGUUGACCUCGGAUCAGGUAGGGAUACCCGCUGAACUUAAGCAUAUCAAUAAGCGGAGGA